This is a long non-coding RNA of Bactrocera neohumeralis, 3021 nucleotides long. RefSeq lists it as uncharacterized. The record is from RefSeq and is a predicted model, not a curated record. The transcript is spliced from 2 exons. NCBI's taxonomy places the organism in Eukaryota, Metazoa, Arthropoda, Insecta, Diptera, Tephritidae.
AUGUUUUUAUUAUUUAUUUUUAAUUUUUAUAAUUUUUUUUUAAUUUUAUGGAAGUGUGACUAUUUUAAGGCAAUUUCUUUUUCUUAGGAAUCUUAUAACUAGAAAUUUUUUUAAUUUCAAAACUCAUUGUUUUGUAGGAAUUUCUUUUAAUUUUUUUAAAUUAUUUUCUAUAUUAUUAUUUUUAUUAUUAAUUUUUAUUUUUUUUAUUAUUUUUUUUUUAUUAUUUUUUUAUUAUUUUUUUUUAUUUUUUUUAUUAUUUAUUUUUACUUUUAAAUAUUUUUUUCUUACAUUUCUUACGCUAGUUAUCUUGUAAACGCUUAACUUAAUCGACAAAUUAUAGGAGACCAUUUUGUAAAGUAUUUAAUUUCCUACAAAACAUCUGAAACGGGAUAUAUUUUCAAGUAGUUGUAAGCGAGUUUUGAAUUUUCUACAUGAUAAUUAGCAAAAAAUAAAAAACUUUAAGGCGGAGAACCUGCUCGUUACAAUUAAGGGCUCAUACUUGGAGAAACUUUCUUAGUGGUGCCUAAGAGCAUAUUUUUCAGAGUGCAAAGCGAAAAAAAACCAAAAACCACCAAUAGAUUUUUUUUACACACCCUAAUACACAUAGCAUCUAAUACGUACAUAUAUGUAUUUAGAACAAUGCAUAUAAUAUAAUAUAUUUAGCUGCAACAUUUUGAAUUUUCAAAUAUUCUACUUUACGACGCAAGCGCAGGCAAAUUUGUGCAUAAAUUACGGAAUCUAAAAAAUUUAAAUAAAACAAACACUCAUUUCUAUAAAUAUGAACACUUUUUGUUUCAUUUCAUUUUUGUUGGUUUUCGUUUUUUUUCAUACCCCGAACAGGUUAUUUUAAGUUUGCCGCGAAGUUUGUAAAGCCCUGUAAUAAAAAAACAUCGGAGGUCUUAUAAAAUAAAGGGUGUUUUUUUAGAAGUGUAGUUUUCAGGAAGAAAUAAAACGCAUAUUAUUUAAUUUUAUUGCUAAGAAUUUAUUUACAAAGAUAAGGUUUUGGUUUUAAAAAUGAUUUUGACCAAGUGCCUGACGCGUCUGGCUCGUAUGAAUUCAAACCGAGAGGCCCAAUUCGACACUACUCUUUGCAAUAACGAUCCUUCGAUCCGAUCGAUUUUCCUCCAACGUGUUAAUCAUCUUGGGCUUAAUUGCGUAGACAAGCGACCUACAAACACAGUAGCUCAAACAGACUCCACAAAUAGUAGUCCAGCGGUGUUAAAUCGUACGAUCUUGUGGGCCACGCCACAAACCUACGACGCGAGAUAAUGUGCUCACCAAGACUUUUCUUCAUUAAAUUGAUAUUUUCAUUGGCUGUAAGACAUGUAGCGUCGUCUUGUUGGAAAUAAAGGUUCAUCACAUUAACAUACUUCAAUUCAGGCACGAAAAAGUCAUUAACGAUGGCUCUACAGUGUUCCCCAUUCACUGAACAUUACGACCGAUUUCAUUUUUGACGAAAUAUGAACCAAUGACUCCCUCUGCCCACAGUGAAUUCUUCAGCAUGUAACGGCGUUUCAAAAAUGGCUUCAUCGUCAAUACAAAUACGACAAUUUUGUUUAUUAAAGAUACUCUGCUCGACUGUGUGACUUGUAUCGCGUCUCUGAGCAUGCACAUUAUCGACCAGGGGAAACGUGGUGCGAAAUCUAUCCAUGGUUGCUCGAAUAACCUUGCAUAUCGACCGAACUAUGGACUCAAAGCGCUAUGCGUCGCGCUAACUGAUCCCUUAUUAUUGUAAAAUUGCACGAUUUGCAAAUUUUGAAAUUGAGGCGAUUUGAUAUGUAAUUUUGAUACUUCUUUCAGUCCCUUGAACUGCUUGAGCUUCUAGAUAUCUAAGACAAUUUCUUGAUAAGGCUGGACAGAUGCAUAAGAAAUCUUCUCUGUACUAUUUUAAUACUGAAUAAAAAGAUAGUAGUAAUCUGGGCUGCUGACAUAAGAGUACAACGUUAAUGACGGCAAUAUUUCUUAAUUUUCUUUUAGUUCAGUGAAUAAUAUUGAUGUUUUCAAUAAACUCAGAUUCGAAUUUCGAAAGCAAAUAUUUCGAUUAUUGUUCGAAAAUGGACCUAAUUUUUCUUUGCUUACCAGUCAAUCUUUCGAAUUUUAGAAAAAUAUCAAAUCAAAUGCUGUCUGCUAUAUUUGACAAUAUGUUCUGCCUAAUCUGUGUUUGCCCUUCAAAUUUUUGUAAUAGAAAUUUAGCUUUGGAAAUCAUUUUUGAAGUACAAUCUCUUCACGACUUAACGCUCUGUUCUCACACGGUUUAUGACAUUGUAACUGACAAUCAAAUUUCAAUAAUAAAGUAAGGCAUCACAGUGGUUUUUUCAUCACAUUGUCAUAUAUUUAUAGCUUUUGAAUUUCAGCAAAUUUAGUUUUAAAAGUUUAGUUUUUAUUAUUUUGUUUUUUAAUUUGUUUUCUAACGAGUUUGACGCUCCAUAGCUUGUCAUACAUGUUUCAAUUAAAUAAGGUUAUGUUAAAUGGAAUGUCUGCUGCAAGUUAGGAAAAAAUUUUAUUAUUAUUAAAAUGCUUUUAAUAUUCUUUAAUUUUUUUCUUAAGGUUUUCUGACUGUGGAAAUCCGUAUUUAUAGUUCAGCAGUAGGGUAGCAGCUCUCAGUAUAUGAUUGCCUGCCGAUCUCGCCAUACAAAUAGCAAAAUCUUUAAGAUAGAUAAUUUCAAACUUCUUAUAUUCAAAACCAAUUCGACCAACUUGGCCAUGGUGAGCAUGAAUGUCGGUAGAUAUAUACCGAAAUUUAAGGAAUGCAUAUUUCUUUUGAAUUUUCGUUUUAAAUUAUGCCUCCAAAGACACAUUUUUAAUGGCUGGUACAUUUAAAAAAAAUAAUUUUGUAUUAUAAAAUCAAUGAAAACAGCUGAUUUUAACACUACGAAUGUAAGCUGGUAUGACAAAUUGUUGUUUUGUGCAUUCUUAUCAUUUUUUUUUUACUUUUCUUAUUCAUUUAUCGCUCCAAAAAUCAUUUCUAUUUUUGCAUUUUAAAAUUAAGGAAAACAGCUGAUUUUGACAUUACGAGUGAAA